Molecule: long non-coding RNA, 949 nt
Organism: Haliotis rufescens (red abalone)
Lineage: Eukaryota; Metazoa; Mollusca; Gastropoda; Lepetellida; Haliotidae
Exons: 2
Source: RefSeq, a predicted model, not a curated record
UACAGAGAUUUAUUACAUUACCUACUAACACCGUUUAGUUAAUCCCGAAAUGUGUUUAUCCUGACUGGGCACGGUAGCGAUCCCAAGAACCUAUCAAUAUGUAUUAAUUUAAUAUUUACAGCUGUAGAAUAUAUAAAACAGAAAGAAUAUGAUACAUUCACGUCUAGUAUUAAGAACUCAUGUGCAUACGCUUAUUUUUUAUCUCCUUUUUAAAUAAUAAAUCUUCAAUGCAAAAUAAUACCAAGCCUUGAUUAUCCGCCGAAACAGAUUCUUUUCUUAAAGGGGAAGUGUACACGCAAAAAUCACUUUCUUUCUUAUUUUAAACAAAACGGAAUUUUAGAAUUAGUUAGUAUCAGUGUUUGAAAAUAUACACUCAUUUUUCUCACAGUCAAUGUAGCGAGCUCACAAUAAGAGUGAAAAUGUCAUGCCGUUAUGAGGCCUCGUUUUCCGAGCUAAACAGGCCUGAGUUAUCCCCCUUAGAUUAUGACGUAAUUGGUGCCAAUUUAACUGGGUCCCUGUCUUGUCACAACGCAAAAGAUAUCAAGAACCAGUUUAUGGUGAGACAACAUGGCAUCCGAUACCUUGCCUGGUCCGAAGAAGUUCCCUUGACCCUUCAAGAAAUCGCAAAACCAUACGAUUUUGAACCAAAACGAGCAAGCUUCGCGGUAUGGAAACGAUGAAAAUCAAGUGGAAACAAGAGAAGACCCACAUCACCUAAUUUGUCACCCGACAUCGACUCCACAUCUACACAAUUAGGCCUACCAGUGACAACGUGAAUCUAUCUACAACUCAUAAACAAGAGGUUCACUUUGGGGAUUUGCAGAAAUAGUUGAAGAAUCAGAGAAAAGUUAUUCCAUCUUGUGUUGUCGAGGUGAUUCAUGAAAGAUUUCCAUCUGAUGUAUGUAAUGUUUUUCUCUAUGCUCAUUAAAAUAAACUUUUUUCAUUGAAA